UCUCCGUUGGUGAACCAGCGGAGGGAUCAUUACAGGACUCGCAAGACUCCUACAACCCUGUGAACUUAACUAUAAGCACGUUGCUUCGGCGGGUGUCUCGGAGGGGGUUCUCCCUCCCCGAGACGCUAAACCCGCCGGCAGCCUACUAUACUCUGUCUCUUUGCGUUGGCAUCUCGAGUACAAUCAAACAAGUUAAAACUUUCAACAAUGGAUCUCUUGGUUCUG
This 225-nucleotide unclassified non-coding RNA is filed under the name plant metagenome. RNAcentral's name for it is "partial contains small subunit ribosomal RNA, internal transcribed spacer 1, and 5.8S ribosomal RNA". The record is from RNAcentral.